This 433-nucleotide ribosomal RNA is filed under the name uncultured bacterium. RNAcentral describes it as "partial 16S ribosomal RNA". It matches the Rfam family "Bacterial small subunit ribosomal RNA", at positions 30 to 508 of the family's 1533-position model. The record is from RNAcentral.
AACGAACGCUGGCGGCAUGCCUAACACAUGCAAGUCGAACGAGACCUUCGGGUCUAGUGGCGCACGGGUGCGUAACGCGUGGGAACCUGCCCUUAGGUUCGGAAUAACUCCCCGAAAGGGGUGCUAAUACCGGAUAAUGUCUUCGGACCAAAGAUUUAUCGCCUUUGGAUGGGCCCGCGUUGGAUUAGCUAGUUGGUAGGGUAAAAGCCUACCAAGGCGACGAUCCAUAGCUGGUCUGAGAGGAUGAUCAGCCACACUGGGACUGAGACACGGCCCAGACACUCAGGGGAGGAGGAGGGGGGAAAUUGUGAAAAAGGGCAGAAGGAUGAACCAAAAAAUGCGGGGGGAGGAAGAAAGCCUUGGGGGUUGAAAAGUUUUUUUCCAAGGAAGAAAAAGAAAAGAACGGGAAAAAAAGACCCCGGCAACCCCGGGC